Non-coding RNA from Pantoea dispersa, 73 nucleotides. The record is from Rfam. Lineage: Bacteria; Pseudomonadati; Pseudomonadota; Gammaproteobacteria; Enterobacterales; Erwiniaceae.
GCGGGAAUAGCUCAGUUGGUAGAGCACGACCUUGCCAAGGUCGGGGUCGCGAGUUCGAGUCUCGUUUCCCGCU